CUGGUUGAUCCUGCCAGUAGUCAUAUGCUUGUCUCAAAGAUUAAGCCAUGCAUGUCUAAGUAUAAACAAAUUUGUACUGUGAAACUGCGAAUGGCUCAUUAAAUCAGUUAUAGUUUAUUUGAUGGUACAUUACUACAUGGAUAACUGUGGUAAUUCUAGAGCUAAUACAUGCGUUAAAAUCCCGACUUACGAAGGGAUGUAUUUAUUAGAUACAAAACCAAUUCGUGGCAACACGAUAUUGGUGAGUCAUAAUAACUUUUCGAAUCGCAUGGCCUUGAGCCGGCGAUGCAUCAUUCAAAUAUCUGCCCUAUCAACUUUGGAUGGUAGGAUAGAGGCCUACCAUGGUUUUAACGGGUAACGGGGAAUAAGGGUUCGAUUCCGGAGAGGGAGCCUGAGAAACGGCUACCACAUCCAAGGAAGGCAGCAGGCGCGCAACUUACCCAAUCCCGACACGGGGAGGUAGUGACAAUAAAUAACAAUACAGGGCUCUUUUGGGUCUUGUAAUUGGAAUGAGUACAAUUUAAAUACCUUAACGAGGAACAAUUGGAGGGCAAGUCUGGUGCCAGCAGCCGCGGUAAUUCCAGCUCCAAUAGCGUAUAUU
This 601-nucleotide non-coding RNA is filed under the name Wallemia mellicola CBS 633.66. RNAcentral's name for it is "Eukaryotic small subunit ribosomal RNA". It matches the Rfam family "Eukaryotic small subunit ribosomal RNA", at positions 4 to 605 of the family's 1831-position model. Lineage: Eukaryota; Fungi; Basidiomycota; Wallemiomycetes; Wallemiales; Wallemiaceae. The record is from Rfam by way of RNAcentral.